This is a long non-coding RNA of Neofelis nebulosa (Clouded leopard), 743 nucleotides long. RefSeq lists it as uncharacterized. The transcript is spliced from 5 exons. Lineage: Eukaryota; Metazoa; Chordata; Mammalia; Carnivora; Felidae. The record is from RefSeq and is a predicted model, not a curated record.
CACAGUCCCCACCCCCAAAGGCACAGGUAGGAAGACAAGCCAUCGGGCACCCUCACUGUCAUGUGCCUUGUAAAUCUCAGCAGGAGGCUCCAUGGAGGCUUUCCUGAGAAAAAUAGCUAAAUAGAGAAGGUAGGAACAAGAAAUGAUGACUCAGGUGAAGGAGCCAAGAAACGAGGGGGAGAAAAAAAGCCCUUCUGGGCAGAAUGUAUGCAAAGGUCCAGAGAUGAAAGAGUGUGACAUCUUUCUGCAAACAGUUGAGCAAGACCGUGGAGGCAAAAAGAUGAGAGAGACAUCUCAGCAGUAAGGAACCUGUGGCAAGUCAUACAAGAGGCUGUUGAAAACAGAAUGUGAAGUAGAAGUGAUGCCAGACUUUCAAGUCAAAAUCGCUCCUUGGUUUCUCCAGCAAAUCCUCCAGCAAAUCGACUAAAGACUCAAACGUAACAUCCAAGAGAAAAAUCAUGGACAGCAUUUUCAACCUCAGAAUACCAAAAGAAGAUUGCCCAUAUCCUGGAAAAUGCUCCUGCCUGGACAGGAAACAUGGGAGAAAUCCCUCGCUGAGACAUCAAGAUGGCUCCAGGUGAAAAUGGAUGGAGCUGACCAUGGGAAAUAUACUGGAAAUUCUUAAAGCAUUAUAUGGAAUCAUCUCUACAGAUAGCCCUUCAUCAAAAAACCUGAAAACAUUAACAGACUGUGGGUAGCACAUCUGUUUAAAUUCAAGAAUAAAGAAGACUGUGUCAGCCUCA